Molecule: non-coding RNA, 111 nt
Filed under: Levilinea saccharolytica
Lineage: Bacteria; Bacillati; Chloroflexota; Anaerolineae; Anaerolineales; Anaerolineaceae
Description: TPP sequence
Rfam family: TPP riboswitch aptamer (THI element)
About the family: Vitamin B(1) in its active form thiamin pyrophosphate (TPP) is an essential coenzyme that is synthesised by coupling of pyrimidine and thiazole moieties in bacteria. The previously detected thiamin-regulatory element, thi box was extended, resulting in a new, highly conserved RNA secondary structure, the THI element, which is widely distributed in eubacteria and also occurs in some archaea.
Source: Rfam by way of RNAcentral
CAACUGAACACGGGGAGCCUGGUAGCCCAGGCUGAGAGGAAGGCGCCAGCCUUCGACCCAAUGUACCUGAUCCGGGUAAUGCCGGCGGAGGGAAAGGAUCCUGUCAACUUG